GACGAACGCUGGCGGCGUGCUUAACACAUGCAAGUCGAACGGAAAGGCCCUGCUUUUGUGGGGUGCUCGAGUGGCGAACGGGUGAGUAACACGUGAGUAACCUGCCCUUGACUUUGGGAUAACUUCAGGAAACUGGGGCUAAUACCGGAUAGGAGCUCCUGCUGCAUGGUGGGGGUUGGAAAGUUUCGGCGGUUGGGGAUGGACUCGCGGCUUAUCAGCUUGUUGGUGGGGUAGUGGCUUACCAAGGCUUUGACGGGUAGCCGGCCUGAGUGGGUGACCGGCCACAUUGGGACUAAGAUACGGCCCAGACUCCUACGGGAGGCAGCAGUAGGGAAUAUUGCACAAUGGGCGGAGGCCUGAUGCAGCAACGCCGCGUGCGGGAUGACGGCCUUCGAGUUGUAAACCGCUUUCGCCUGUGACGAAGCGUGAGUGACGGUAAUGGGUAAAGAAGCACCGGCUAACUACGUG
RNAcentral lists this ribosomal RNA (468 nucleotides) under uncultured bacterium. RNAcentral's name for it is "partial 16S ribosomal RNA". It matches the Rfam family "Bacterial small subunit ribosomal RNA", at positions 28 to 507 of the family's 1533-position model. The record is from RNAcentral.